This 1419-nucleotide ribosomal RNA is filed under the name uncultured bacterium. RNAcentral's name for it is "bacterial SSU rRNA". It matches the Rfam family "Bacterial small subunit ribosomal RNA". The record is from RNAcentral.
ACACAUGCAAGUCGCGGGGUAACGACGGAGAAAGCUUGCUUUUUCCGGGCGACGACCGGCGCACGGGUGAGUAACGCGUAUCCAACCUGCCCUAUACAAAGGCACAGCCCGGCGAAAGUCGGAUUAAUGCCUUAUGAAGUGAGAAGAAGACAUCUGAUUUUCACUAAAGCUGAGGCGGUAUAGGAUGGGGAUGCGUCCGAUUAGGUAGACGGCGGGGUAACGGCCCACCGUGCCGACGAUCGGUAGGGGUUCUGAGAGGAAGGUCCCCCACACUGGAACUGAGACACGGUCCAGACUCCUACGGGAGGCAGCAGUGAGGAAUAUUGGUCAAUGGGCGCGAGCCUGAACCAGCCAAGUAGCGUGAGGGAAGACGGCCCUAUGGGUUGUAAACCUCUUUAGUCCGGGAAUAAAGUGGGCGACGUGUCGCCUAUUGCAUGUACCGGAAGAAUAAGGACCGGCUAAUUCCGUGCCAGCAGCCGCGGUAAUACGGAAGGUCCGGGCGUUAUCCGGAUUUAUUGGGUUUAAAGGGAGCGCAGGCGGUCUGAUAAGCGGGCAGUGAAAGACGGUGGCUCAACCAUCGAGGUGCUGUCCGAACUGUCGGACUUGAGUACGUGCGAGGCAGGCGGAAUUCGUGGUGUAGCGGUGAAAUGCUUAGAUAUCACGAAGAACCCCGAUUGCGAAGGCAGCUUGCCAGUGCGCCACUGACGCUAAAGCUCGAAAGUGCGGGUAUCGAACAGGAUUAGAUACCCUGGUAGUCCGCACGGUAAACGAUGGAUGCUCGCUGUUCGUUGCGUUUAUAGUGAUGAGCGGCCAAGCGAAAGCGUUAAGCAUCCCACCUGGGGAGUACGCCGGCAACGGUGAAACUCAAAGGAAUUGACGGGGGCCCGCACAAGCGGAGGAACAUGUGGUUUAAUUCGAUGAUACGCGAGGAACCUUACCCGGGCUUGAAUUGCAGCUGCAUAGACCAGAGAUGGUCUUUCCCUUCGGGGCUGCUGUGAAGGUGCUGCAUGGUUGUCGUCAGCUCGUGCCGUGAGGUGUCGGCUUAAGUGCCAUAACGAGCGCAACCCCUCUCUCCAGUUGCCAUCGGGUCAUGCCGGGCACUCUGGAGACACUGCCACCGCAAGGUGCGAGGAAGGUGGGGAUGACGUCAAAUCAGCACGGCCCUUACGUCCGGGGCUACACACGUGUUACAAUGGUGGGCACAGAGAGUCAGAUGCGGGCAACCGCUUCUUAAUCCCGAAAUCCCAUCUCAGUUCGGACUGGGGUCUGCAACCCGACCCCACGAAGCUGGAUUCGCUAGUAAUCGCGCAUCAGCCAUGGCGCGGUGAAUACGUUCCCGGGCCUUGUACACACCGCCCGUCAAGCCAUGAAAGCCGGGGGCGCCUGAAGUCCGUGACCGCAAGGGUCGGCCUAGGGGAA